Molecule: long non-coding RNA, 286 nt
Filed under: Lathyrus oleraceus (garden pea)
Lineage: Eukaryota; Viridiplantae; Streptophyta; Magnoliopsida; Fabales; Fabaceae
Description: Pisum sativum (pea) long non-coding RNA (PSAT_LNC008326)
Source: RNAcentral
GUUAAUUUUUUUUAAUAUUGGUUAGUUUUUAAAUAUUAGUUAGUUUAGAUAUUAGUUAGUUUAAAAAUAAUUAUUAGUUAGUUUUUUUUAUAAUUUAUUAUAAAUAAUAUGUAUAUAUAUAUAUAUAUUUAGGUCCAUUGGAUCCUUUUUACUUUACUUACAUAAAAAACAAAAAAAAAGAAAUAAUAAAAAAGGAGGAAUCCAAGGAAAACACUCCCAACGGUCUGCCAGACACCUCACCCCACUAAAUUCCCACUCACAUUCCACUCUUCCACUCUCAUUCCUC